GCCGCGUCCCGGCCGGAGCGGGUGGGAAGGGCGUCCGAGCUGCGUGACGUGACGUGUGUUAAACGUUCUGUGCCGGCCGUGGUGUGCUGCAUGGUCGCGGCAAUGAUUGUCUCGCAGCAUUCGGCACUGGAGAGGCCACACCCUUGCUCCCCUCCAGCGGCGAGAAUGUUCUGCUUUCCUCCGUGUUGUUUGAAGAUUAACUGUGCGAAUUGUGCAGAGACAGCACAGCAGAUGAGGGAAAAAUUACAAGAAAAAAUCUGAGUGAAAUACUCUGUGGUCUGCAAGAGUCAGAAGGUUGAAGCAAGACAGGAAGGAGGUUGGAUCACCAGAGGAUAUGCCACUAAACUGGCCAAGGAUCUGCUGUGCUUUCAGUGCAUCAACUUUUGAAGUCUUGAGAGCAUUUAAGGAGAAGGUAGAGUAUAAAUCACUGUCAUUAAAAAGAGAAAAAGAGACAGAGGUGGUCAGCAAAGAGGGUGUCUUAGAUUGGAAACGGGUGUGUGUAUUCUAUUCCUGUCUGUAGGGUUAUCUUCUGUUAAUUGGGCAGUUUUCUUUAUCUCUUCUACAACCAAUCCUCUUUCUGGGAAAUAUUUUCUGUUAAUGUGUCAUUGAGUGUCACUGCAGGACUGAUAGAAUU
Molecule: long non-coding RNA, 634 nt
Filed under: Serinus canaria (Common canary)
Lineage: Eukaryota; Metazoa; Chordata; Aves; Passeriformes; Fringillidae
Description: lncRNA (ENSSCAG00000004918.1)
Source: RNAcentral